Molecule: ribosomal RNA, 256 nt
Filed under: uncultured bacterium
Lineage: Bacteria
Description: partial 16S ribosomal RNA
Rfam family: Bacterial small subunit ribosomal RNA
Source: RNAcentral
GACGUAGGAUGCAAGCGUUGUCCGGAUUUAUUGGGCGUAAAGAGUUCGUAGGCGGUUCGUUAAGUUUGGUGUUAAAGACCGGGGCUCAACCUCGGGACCGCACUGAAUACUGGCGGACUGGAGUGCAGUAGAGGCAAGCGGAAUUCCCAGUGUAGCGGUGAAAAUGCGUAGAUAUUGGGGAAGAACACCGGUGGCGCAAGCGGCUUGCUGGGGCUGUUACUGACGCUGAGGAACGAAAGCUAGGGGAGCGAAUGGG